Molecule: ribosomal RNA, 256 nt
Filed under: uncultured prokaryote
Description: partial 16S ribosomal RNA
Rfam family: Bacterial small subunit ribosomal RNA
Source: RNAcentral
AAUACAGAGGUCCCAAGCGUUGUUCGGAUUCACUGGGCGUAAAGGGUGCGCAGGUGGUCGGGUAAGUCUGAUGUGAAAUCCCGCAGCUUAACUGCGGAAUGGCAUUGGAUACUAUUCGGCUAGAGGGUUGGAGGGGGGACUGGAAUUCUCGGUGUAGCAGUGAAAUGCGUAGAUAUCGAGAGGAACACCAGUGGCGAAGGCGAGUCCCUGGACAACUCCUGACGCUGAGGCACGAAAGCUAGGGGAGCAAACAGGA